This 2050-nucleotide ribosomal RNA is filed under the name Bacillus anthracis (anthrax bacterium). Its description in RNAcentral is "bacterial LSU rRNA". It matches the Rfam family "Bacterial large subunit ribosomal RNA", at positions 3 to 2055 of the family's 2925-position model. The record is from RNAcentral. Lineage: Bacteria; Bacillati; Bacillota; Bacilli; Caryophanales; Bacillaceae.
UUAAGUUAGAAAGGGCGCACGGUGGAUGCCUUGACACUAGGAGUCGAUGAAGGACGGGACUAACGCCGAUAUGCUUCGGGGAGCUGUAAGUAAGCUUUGAUCCGAAGAUUUCCGAAUGGGGAAACCCACCAUACGUAAUGGUAUGGUAUCCUUAUCUGAAUACAUAGGGUAAGGAAGACAGACCCAGGGAACUGAAACAUCUAAGUACCUGGAGGAAGAGAAAGCAAAUGCGAUUUCCUGAGUAGCGGCGAGCGAAACGGAACAUAGCCCAAACCAAGAGGCUUGCCUCUUGGGGUUGUAGGACAUUCUAUACGGAGUUACAAAGGAACGAGGUAGACGAAGCGACCUGGAAAGGUCCGUCGUAGAGGGUAACAACCCCGUAGUCGAAACUUCGUUCUCUCUUGAAUGUAUCCUGAGUACGGCGGAACACGUGAAAUUCCGUCGGAAUCUGGGAGGACCAUCUCCCAAGGCUAAAUACUCCCUAGUGAUCGAUAGUGAACCAGUACCGUGAGGGAAAGGUGAAAAGCACCCCGGAAGGGGAGUGAAAGAGAUCCUGAAACCGUGUGCCUACAAAUAGUCAGAGCCCGUUAACGGGUGAUGGCGUGCCUUUUGUAGAAUGAACCGGCGAGUUACGAUCCCGUGCGAGGUUAAGCUGAAGAGGCGGAGCCGCAGCGAAAGCGAGUCUGAAUAGGGCGUUUAGUACGUGGUCGUAGACCCGAAACCAGGUGAUCUACCCAUGUCCAGGGUGAAGUUCAGGUAACACUGAAUGGAGGCCCGAACCCACGCACGUUGAAAAGUGCGGGGAUGAGGUGUGGGUAGCGGAGAAAUUCCAAUCGAACCUGGAGAUAGCUGGUUCUCCCCGAAAUAGCUUUAGGGCUAGCCUUAAGUGUAAGAGUCUUGGAGGUAGAGCACUGAUUGGACUAGGGGUCCUCAUCGGAUUACCGAAUUCAGUCAAACUCCGAAUGCCAAUGACUUAUCCUUAGGAGUCAGACUGCGAGUGAUAAGAUCCGUAGUCAAAAGGGAAACAGCCCAGACCGCCAGCUAAGGUCCCAAAGUGUGUAUUAAGUGGAAAAGGAUGUGGAGUUGCUUAGACAACUAGGAUGUUGGCUUAGAAGCAGCCACCAUUUAAAGAGUGCGUAAUAGCUCACUAGUCGAGUGACUCUGCGCCGAAAAUGUACCGGGGCUAAAUACACCACCGAAGCUGCGGAUUGAUACCAAUGGUAUCAGUGGUAGGGGAGCGUUCUAAGGACAGUGAAGUCAGACCGGAAGGACUGGUGGAGUGCUUAGAAGUGAGAAUGCCGGUAUGAGUAGCGAAAGACGGGUGAGAAUCCCGUCCACCGAAUGCCUAAGGUUUCCUGAGGAAGGCUCGUCCGCUCAGGGUUAGUCAGGACCUAAGCCGAGGCCGACAGGCGUAGGCGAUGGACAACAGGUUGAUAUUCCUGUACCACCUCUUUAUCGUUUGAGCAAUGGAGGGACGCAGAAGGAUAGAAGAAGCGUGCGAUUGGUUGUGCACGUCCAAGCAGUUAGGCUGAUAAGUAGGCAAAUCCGCUUAUCGUGAAGGCUGAGCUGUGAUGGGGAAGCUCCUUAUGGAGCGAAGUCUUUGAUUCCCCGCUGCCAAGAAAAGCUUCUAGCGAGAUAAAAGGUGCCUGUACCGCAAACCGACACAGGUAGGCGAGGAGAGAAUCCUAAGGUGUGCGAGAGAACUCUGGUUAAGGAACUCGGCAAAAUGACCCCGUAACUUCGGGAGAAGGGGUGCUUUCUUAACGGAAAGCCGCAGUGAAUAGGCCCAAGCGACUGUUUAGCAAAAACACAGCUCUCUGCGAAGCCGUAAGGCGAAGUAUAGGGGGUGACACCUGCCCGGUGCUGGAAGGUUAAGGAGAGGGGUUAGCGUAAGCGAAGCUCUGAACUGAAGCCCCAGUAAACGGCGGCCGUAACUAUAACGGUCCUAAGGUAGCGAAAUUCCUUGUCGGGUAAGUUCCGACCCGCACGAAAGGUGUAACGAUUUGGGCACUGUCUCAACCAGAGACUCGGUGAAAUUAUAGUACCUGUG